CACAAAUUGAAUAUGAAAGCCGAGCGCGGCUGCGCCUUCGGGCGUAGUCGCGGAGGCUAGAUUAUUUAUUACCCUUGUCUUUUGCGCACUUGUUGUUUCCUGGGCGGGUUCGCCCGCCACCAGGACCACAUUAUAAACCUUUUAUGCAGCUGCAAUCAGCGUCAGUACAACAAAUGUAAAAUCAUUUA
RNAcentral lists this unclassified non-coding RNA (188 nucleotides) under uncultured Ascomycota. RNAcentral describes it as "sequence contains ITS1". The record is from RNAcentral. Lineage: Eukaryota; Fungi; Ascomycota.